This 465-nucleotide ribosomal RNA is filed under the name uncultured bacterium. RNAcentral's name for it is "partial 16S ribosomal RNA". It matches the Rfam family "Bacterial small subunit ribosomal RNA", at positions 28 to 507 of the family's 1533-position model. The record is from RNAcentral.
GACGAACGCUGGCGGCGUGCUUAACACAUGCAAGUCGAACGGAAAGGCCCUGCUUGCAGGGUACUCGAGUGGCGAACGGGUGAGUAACACGUGGGUGAUCUGCCCUGCACUUCGGGAUAAGCCUGGGAAACUGGGUCUAAUACCGGAUAGGAGCCAUUUUUAGUGUGAUGGUUGGAAAGUUUUUUCGGUGUAGGAUGAGCUCGCGGCCUAUCAGCUUGUUGGUGGGGUAAUGGCCUACCAAGGCGGCGGCGGGUAGCCGGCCUGAGAGGGUGGACGGCCACAUUGGGACUGAGAGACGGCCCAGACUCCUACGGGAGGCAGCAGGGGGGAAUAUUGCACAAUGGGCGCAAGCCUGAUGCAGCGACGCCGCGGGGGGGAGGACGGCCUUCGGGUUGUAAACUCCUUUCGCUAGGGACGAAGCUUUUUGUGACGGUACCUAGAUAAGAAGCACCGGCUAACUACGUG